RNAcentral lists this ribosomal RNA (699 nucleotides) under uncultured bacterium. Its description in RNAcentral is "bacterial SSU rRNA". It matches the Rfam family "Bacterial small subunit ribosomal RNA", at positions 1 to 721 of the family's 1533-position model. The record is from RNAcentral.
AGGAGUUUGAUCCUGGCUCAGGACGAACGCUGGCGGCGUGCCUAAUACAUGCAAGUCGAACGAGAUCGGGCUUCGGCCCACAUGAUCUAGUGGCGAACGGGUGAGUAACACGUGAGAAACCUGCCCCGAAGACGGGAAUAACUCGAGGAAACUCGUGCUAAUACCCGAUGUCUUCACACCAUCGCAUGGUGGAGUGAAGAAAUGCUCCGGCGCCUUGGGAGGGUCUCGCGGCCUAUCAGCUAGUUGGUGAGGUAACGGCUCACCAAGGCAUCGACGGGUAGCUGGUCUGAGAGGAUGAUCAGCCACACUGGGACUGAGACACGGCCCAGACUCCUACGGGAGGCAGCAGUAGGGAAUCUUGCGCAAUGGGCGAAAGCCUGACGCAGCAACGCCGCGUGGGGGAUGACGGCCUUCGGGUUGUAAACCCCUUUCAGCAGGGACGAAAAUGACGGUACCUGCAGAAGAAGCUCCGGCCAACUACGUGCCAGCAGCCGCGGUAAUACGUAGGGAGCAAGCGUUGUCCGGAAUUAUUGGGCGUAAAGAGCUCGUAGGCGGUUCGGUAAGUCGGGUGUGAAAAUCCAGGGCUCAACCCUGGGACGCCACCCGAUACUGCUGUGACUAGAGUCCGGUAGAGGAGCGUGGAAUUCCUGGUGUAGCGGUGAAAUGCGCAGAUAUCAGGAGGAACACCAGCGGCGAAGG